ACAGCUCAUUACCAUCAUGCACCAAUAUUACUCCAAGCAGCAGCUGGAUCAGUAUCACGUGCUGCUACAUCCUGCUGUGAGAGAACAGAGAUAUUUAUCAUAAGAGGAAGGAAGCUUUUGCAUUGGUUUGACCUCUGCCGCUUUUACUGAACCUCAUGGUUGAGAAAGCAGUAUCUGUCACCCGACUACUUCCUGUUGGAGUCCACACCUCUGAGCUCUGCAGCCUCAGUCACCAGCCUUUUUUCUUUUUUUUUUGCUCUGCUGUCUGCAGAAUGAAUACGUGGGGUACUUUUUAGCUUCUGAGUCCAUCACACACUUUAGUUUACAGGCAUAUUAUCUAUGCUAAAAUAAUGAUUCAGUGUUCAGACUGCAGCCUACGUGUGGAGAGCUCUUAAUUUUCCAGUGAAAUAUUUUUACUAGUAUAAAACUGGCAUCUUCUUUACCUCCUACAACUCCUUCCCCUACCUGUGCACGUAUGUGAAUGAUUGUGCCUUCAUUCUCAUCCAGACCUUGCUUAUGCUUUCAUGUUGGAUCAGUCCCAGAUAGCAAUAACUCCUAUUAGUGAGCUUUUAAUCAAGCUGAAAACAACAGUAACAUCUAAACAUAAAAAGAUCUUUAUUAAAUGAAAACUGUUAAAUCUGGAGGAAAUGUUUUUGGACAUCUCUCACUACUCUAUCAAAUCAUGUUUAAAACACAGUUUGAAUAAUUCACACUGUUGAGAAUUGACAAAAAUGUGGGUUAUGCUAACUGUUUGAAAGGAGUGUGGGAUCAGAUGAUUUUUUUCCUUGCAGUCCCUCUGCUCUGACUAAAGCCCGCUUCCUGUCCUGCAGUGGGAAGAGGAAGAUCACACUCAUGGGGUCUCACCUUAACUUUGUUGAAGGGGUCUUCCACAGCCACGCAAUGCAGGAUGUCAGACUUCCCAGAAACAUCAGCUCUGAGUAUCUCACCUACAAUUCACCUGCAGCUGGGAGCAUUUCUAGCAGCACUAUGUUUGUCAAAGUAGCCAAUGAAACCUUGGCCUGCUCCAUUAAACUCCCCUACUAUCCAGACCCUGAGUUUACCAGCUUCACAGUUAUAAGGACAGGGGAAGAUGUGCGCAUCACCAUUCAG
Pundamilia nyererei is the source of this 1110-nucleotide long non-coding RNA. RefSeq lists it as uncharacterized. The transcript has 3 exons. Lineage: Eukaryota; Metazoa; Chordata; Actinopteri; Cichliformes; Cichlidae. The record is from RefSeq and is a predicted model, not a curated record.